RNAcentral lists this long non-coding RNA (207 nucleotides) under Mytilus galloprovincialis (Mediterranean mussel). The record is from RNAcentral. Lineage: Eukaryota; Metazoa; Mollusca; Bivalvia; Mytilida; Mytilidae.
AUUUUCUGAAAGUGCAAAGACAAACAAAAAUUAAAUUUUAAUAUUUCUUGUCUGUACAUAUUCUGCUGAAGUAUAUGAUAAAAAGAUAAUUACAUGUCAUUUUUCAUAUCAGACCCUUUAUCGGCCCUCGUUCAUGAUAUCAGCCCUCGAGCCUCCGGCUCUUGGGCUGAUAUCACAACCUUGGGCCGAUAAAGGGUUUGAUAUGAA